GCUUUCAAGGUAGGAAGUGCUUUGGAAACUGGCGGGCUGGAGUGCAGGAGAGGUCAGCGGAAUUCCCGGUGUAGCGGUGAAAUGCGUAGAGAUCGGGAGGAACACCAGUGGCGAAGGCGGCUGACUGGACUGUAACUGACGCUGAGGCGCGAAAGUGUGGGGAGCAAACAGGAUUAGAUACCCUGGUAGUCCACACUGUAAACGAUGAAUGCUAGGUGUAGGGGGUAUCGACCCCUUCUGUGCCGGAGUCAACACAAUAAGCAUUCCGCCUGGGGAGUACGGCCGCAAGGUUGAAACUCAAAGGAAUUGACGGGGGCCCGCACAAGCAGCGGAGCAUGUGGUUUAAUUCGAAGCAACGCGAAGAACCUUACCAGGUCUUGACAUCCACUUAAACUCAUGGAGACAUGGGGUCCCUUCGGGGGAAGUGAGACAGGUGGUGCAUGGUUGUCGUCAGCUCGUGUCGUGAGAUGUUGGGUUAAGUCCCGCAACGAGCGCAACCCUUAUUUUCAGUUACUAACGCGUGACGGCGAGGACUCUGAAGAGACUGCCGGGGACAACUCGGAGGAAGGUGGGGACGACGUCAAAUCAUCAUGCCCCUUAUGACCUGGGCUACACACGUGCUACAAUGGCCACUACAAAGAGGAGCGAGCCCGUNANGGGGAGCGGAUCUGAGAAAAGUGGUCCCAGUUCAGAUUGUGGGCUGCAACCCGCCCACAUGAAGUCGGAGUUGCUAGUAAUCGCGGAUCAGCAUGCCGCGGUGAAUACGUU
Molecule: ribosomal RNA, 768 nt
Filed under: uncultured bacterium
Lineage: Bacteria
Description: bacterial SSU rRNA
Rfam family: Bacterial small subunit ribosomal RNA
Source: RNAcentral